This 497-nucleotide ribosomal RNA is filed under the name uncultured bacterium. RNAcentral's name for it is "partial 16S ribosomal RNA". It matches the Rfam family "Bacterial small subunit ribosomal RNA", at positions 28 to 507 of the family's 1533-position model. The record is from RNAcentral.
GAUGAACGCUGGCGGCGUGCCUAAUACAUGCAAGUCGAGCGAACGGACGAGAAGCUUGCUUCUCUGAUGUUAGCGGCGGACGGGUGAGUAACACGUGGAUAACCUACCUAUAAGACUGGGAUAACUUCGGGAAACCGGAGCUAAUACCGGAUGAUAUUUUGAACCGCAUGGUGCAAAAGUGAAAGACGGUCGUGCUGUCACUUAUAGAUGGAUCCGCGCUGCAUUAGCUAGUUGGUAAGGUAAAGGCUUACCAAGGCAACGAUGCAUAGCCGACCUGAGAGGGUGAUCGGCCACACUGGAACUGAGACGCGGUCCAGACUCCUACGGGAGGCAGCAGUAGGGAAUCUUCCGCAAUGGGCGAAAGCCUGACGGAGCAACGCCGCGUGAGUGAUGAAGGUCUUCGGAUCGUAAAACUCUGUUAUUAGGGAAGAACAUAUGUGUAAGUAACUGUGCACAUCUUGACGGUACCUAAUCAGAAAGCCACGGCUAACUACGUG